This is a long non-coding RNA of Nothoprocta perdicaria, 1309 nucleotides long. RefSeq lists it as uncharacterized. The record is from RefSeq and is a predicted model, not a curated record. NCBI's taxonomy places the organism in Eukaryota, Metazoa, Chordata, Aves, Tinamiformes, Tinamidae. The transcript has 2 exons.
GCAGCCAGGUUUGGUUGUUUGUGCUACGUGUUCUGGGACCGAGCAUACAUAGCAGUCAGGCUUAACGUUUUGCUCUGAUCAUGUAUCAUUUCUCUGAGCUGUGCUCACGUCUUGGACCUUCUCAUUCCCUGCUGAGAGGCAAGGAUCAAGAAAACUUAAAGUCCAGGCAAAGAUUUUUGCACAAAAUUCAUUUUGUAAUGGGACAACUCCGUAAUUGGGCCGUCUUAAAACAAUCCAGUAUCAAAACGAAGGAUAUGAGGAUGUCUUGCAAGAAGAUGAAUGAUAAAAUAUGGUUCUCCAGCCAUGCUCUGUCCGUAUCAAGGCAAGACAAGACAGCGUUUUGGUUUGGGAUACCAGCAUAGAUUCGUCCUGGUCUCUGAUUCAGCCACUGCUUGAGGAAAUGUGAAGACUUCUUGCCUAGUGACCGCUUGCCAUGAAGCUAGAAUCCUUUCAGUGUUUGAGACCCGCAUGGAUGUGCUGUCCUCUGGCUCUGUUGCUGGCUGAGCUCCUGCCUCCGAACUCCCAGCAGCGCGGCAGAGCAAUCCGGUCUAUGCCCGAGGCAUCCCUUCAAGCAUUCUCCCAUAACAGAGGACUGGAAGACGUACAAGGGACGACCCAAAAAAAAAGAAAAAAAAAAGCCUCCAAGAAGUUGGGUGCUUUGGUGUGGAUAUGUUUUUUUGUAGGAAAAGACUAGAGAAGUUGGGUCCCUGUGACCAAGGCAGCAAGACAAAGAAGGGGUAUUGACUGCAACUAGAAAACUAAUGUAGAGAUGUAAAUGAUUCAAGAGCAGAGACUUGGUGUGAUCUGGAAAAACGGAAGUUAAAAGAAAUGGAAAAGCGUUGACAGAAAUUAUGAAUCAACAAGCGCAUAUAUCAGAAAUGUGUGUCUUUGGUCUUGUGGUGAAGGUUGAAACAGUGGUUAGAGCAAUAGGACUUCACUAGCUCCUGGAAUGGAUGCUCUCCAAGUUCUGUAGAAGAGUUUUCUCUUGGAAACUUUAGCACAACUUUUUCCUGACACAAAUAUCUCUUUCCUUGCAAUGAAAACAUAAACAUGUUGGAUGCUCAUAUGGAUGAGGCACAGAAAGAUUCAAUGUAUGCUGAUUCAGGAGGAAAAACCAUUUUUUUCUUUCUCCAAAGAUCAUGUUUUCACAAUCAACUUGAAUUCAGUAAAUUUGUAAAAUAAUUUUGUAAAACAAAUAAAACAUAGUGCAAAGGUUGUAUAACCUAACAAUUCUGUUUAAGCGUAAUGAUGUGAUGAAGCAAUGUGCUAGGAGAUGAAAACUGAAAUUACUUUGUUAAACUGCUUGUUU